GGUGCCUCAAGGAGCCCCACAAGUCCGAGGCCGCCUCCCGCGAGAAGGUCCACUUCGCCAUCUCCAAGUGGGCCGACGGCAAGCAGGAGAAGCCGACUGUCCGCACAGAUGAUGAAUAAACAUUUGGUGCCAUGGUGACAUAGUUCUUCCUACAGAUGUUUCAAAAAUGUUCUUGCCUUUCUUGCGAGCCGUUGUACCUGAAACUUGCUGUUAUCUGGCUGGAUUUUGUGGUCAACGCUGAAGAAUAA
Molecule: unclassified non-coding RNA, 248 nt
Filed under: Hevea brasiliensis (rubber tree)
Lineage: Eukaryota; Viridiplantae; Streptophyta; Magnoliopsida; Malpighiales; Euphorbiaceae
Source: RNAcentral